UCUAAUUUUACACACGGGCGUUUUACGACAUCUUUGACGCAACGAGCGUAACGAGAUUAGUUCCGGAGCAGGUCGAGGUGGCAGACCCAGAAGACAUGCGCUUCUGGAGAGGAGAGCGGCAUUAUGACCCGAAAAGCCGCAUGAAAACGCACUCUUAUUUUGCACAGCCUCGCUGAAGAGGAGUCGCCAUGGUCUCCUGAAGCUGCACACGGCGAGCGGAGCGGCUGCGAAAGAAGCGCAGGAGCCGCCACCGCAGCUCUCCACGUGGCCGCCGCGUCCGACAGCGAGAUGGACUGAGACGACGGCUGCAGUGAAACAGCACCGUCUCCUGGCUCUGUGGACAUGACAGGUCCUCCUGCUGAGGCACACACCGGUUUACGGAGAAGAUCCAGCGUGGAUCUUACUGUCUUUAACAUUCUUGAGUCACAAUUUUGUCUUUAUUUUAAAUCUGUUGUUUAAUCAUGCAGAACUAGUUUUGCACUGGUUAAAAUAAAGCUGCUUUGAGCAUGUUUUUAUUGAUUUCA
Molecule: long non-coding RNA, 524 nt
Organism: Myripristis murdjan (pinecone soldierfish)
Lineage: Eukaryota; Metazoa; Chordata; Actinopteri; Holocentriformes; Holocentridae
Exons: 3
Source: RefSeq, a predicted model, not a curated record